This 725-nucleotide small RNA is filed under the name Pongo abelii (Sumatran orangutan). Its description in RNAcentral is "processed transcript". Lineage: Eukaryota; Metazoa; Chordata; Mammalia; Primates; Hominidae. The record is from RNAcentral.
ACCCUGUACUCCCACCAAACCAUGGUCUGUGGGGGCUGGAGGGGAGGAGGAUGUACCUUGUGUCUCUUUCAAGUGCCUUAAUCCGAGCCAGCAGGGCCCUCUGCUUGCCCGCUGCCAUACUGUAUGUAGGAAAGUGCUCUGUGGCUGCCUUUGUGUCAAGAAAAGAGCAGUCACUCUCAGAAUCUUGAUUCCCCAUCAGCCAAAGCAAAAGAUGGCUGCUGCUUUGUAGGCAUGUGCCUGCAAAUGGGACCUUGCUGGGCAUUAUAUGCCCUGUGGGGGUUUCAGAGACCCUGAAAGAGGAAGGAGGACCCGCCUCCUUGUCUGCACAACUGCAUGCACUUCUCUCCCCAUCGCUCCACAACCUGAAACCGAGAAGGAGUUGCUGACCAGCGCCCACCCCGGCAGCCCGGGAGGAACACAGGCAGCUCCUUUCCCUUCACGUGGUCUGCGGAGAGCAGGGUGAGCUGCCAGCUGCCCCUCUCCACCAGGGUACCCUGUCUUGGUGGUUAGGGGCCACUUUUCCUUUGAGGCUCUAGUGGAGGUGGAUAUCCUUCUCUGCCAGGCCUGGCACAUGAUGUGAAGAAUAAAUGCCCAAAUCUUACUGUUCAGGUUUGAUGUGGAAUCACAGCUGCAGUGAUAUAUAUUUUUUAUCAGUGCUUGGUUGGUUUUAAAUAAAGUGCACGCUAUUUUAUUAUCUUGUUCUGAAUAAAAUGUAUUUACUCCAA